RNAcentral lists this ribosomal RNA (68 nucleotides) under Moorena sp. SIO1F2. Lineage: Bacteria; Bacillati; Cyanobacteriota; Cyanophyceae; Coleofasciculales; Coleofasciculaceae. The record is from RNAcentral.
CCUGGUGCUUAUAGCGCUACGGAACCACACCGACCCCAUCCCGAACUCGGAGGUGAAACGUAGCUGCG